Molecule: non-coding RNA, 85 nt
Organism: Schistocerca gregaria
Lineage: Eukaryota; Metazoa; Arthropoda; Insecta; Orthoptera; Acrididae
Source: the annotation of a RefSeq genome assembly
GCCCGUUGUGGCCGAGUGGUUCUAGGCGCUUUGGUCCGCAACCAGGUGACUGUUACAGUCGCAGGUUCGAACCCUGCCAUGGGCA